This 354-nucleotide ribosomal RNA is filed under the name uncultured Desulfobulbus sp. Its description in RNAcentral is "bacterial SSU rRNA". It matches the Rfam family "Bacterial small subunit ribosomal RNA", at positions 1026 to 1382 of the family's 1533-position model. Lineage: Bacteria; Pseudomonadati; Thermodesulfobacteriota; Desulfobulbia; Desulfobulbales; Desulfobulbaceae. The record is from RNAcentral.
UACUGGAGACAGGUGCUGCAUGGCUGUCGUCAGCUCGUGUCGUGAGAUGUGGGUUAAGUCCCGCAACGAGCGCAACCCUUGCCUUUAGUUGCCAGCAGUUCGGCUGGGCACUCUAAAGGGACUGCCGGUGUUAAACCGGAGGAAGUGGGGAUGACGUCAAGUCCUCAUGGCCUUUAUGACCAGGGCUACACACGUACUACAAUGGCCGAUACAAAGGGCAGCGACACUGCGAGGUGAAGCCAAUCCCGUAAAAUCGGUCUCAGUCCGGAUUGGAGUCUGCAACUCGACUCCAUGAAGUUGGAAUCGCUAGUAAUCGUGGAUCAGCAUGCCACGGUGAAUACGUUCCCGGGCCUU